UCCCUGGUGGCUCAGACGCUAAAGCAUCUGCCUACAAUGUAGGAGACCCAGGUUCGAUCUCUGGGUUGGGAA
Molecule: transfer RNA, 72 nt
Organism: Ovis aries (sheep)
Lineage: Eukaryota; Metazoa; Chordata; Mammalia; Artiodactyla; Bovidae
Rfam family: tRNA
About the family: Transfer RNA (tRNA) molecules are approximately 80 nucleotides in length. Their secondary structure includes four short double-helical elements and three loops (D, anti-codon, and T loops). Further hydrogen bonds mediate the characteristic L-shaped molecular structure. tRNAs have two regions of fundamental functional importance: the anti-codon, which is responsible for specific mRNA codon recognition, and the 3' end, to which the tRNAs corresponding amino acid is attached (by aminoacyl-tRNA synthetases). tRNAs cope with the degeneracy of the genetic code in two manners: having more than one tRNA (with a specific anti-codon) for a particular amino acid; and 'wobble' base-pairing, i.e. permitting non-standard base-pairing at the 3rd anti-codon position.
Source: Rfam